RNAcentral lists this ribosomal RNA (636 nucleotides) under bacterium spbL2type3-c12. Its description in RNAcentral is "bacterial SSU rRNA". It matches the Rfam family "Bacterial small subunit ribosomal RNA", at positions 135 to 758 of the family's 1533-position model. The record is from RNAcentral.
GGCUGGGGAUAACAUUUGGAAACAGAUGCUGAUACCGAAUAAAACUUAGUGUCGGCAUGACACAAAGUUAAAAGGCGCUUCGGCGUCACCUAGAGAUGGAUCCGCGGUGCACUAGUUAGUUGGUGGGGUAAAGGCCUACCAAGACAAUGAUGCAUAGCCGAGUUGAGAGACUGAUCGGCCACAUUGGGACUGAGACACGGCCCAAACUCCUACGGGAGGCUGCAGUAGGGAAUCUUCCACAAUGGGCGAAAGCCUGAUGGAGCAACGCCGCGUGUGUGAUGAAGGCUUUCGGGUCGUAAAGCACUGUUGUAUGGGAAGAACAGCUAGAAUAGGAAAUGAUUUUAGUUUGACGGUACCAUACCAGAAAGGGACGGCUAAAUACGUGCCAGCAGCCGCGGUAAUACGUAUGUCCCGAGCGUUAUCCGGAUUUAUUGGGCGUAAAGCGAGCGCAGACGGUUUAUUAAGUCUGAUGUGAAAGCCCGGAGCUCAACUCCGGAAUGGCAUUGGAAACUGGUUAACUUGAGUGCAGUAGAGGUAAGUGGAACUCCAUGUGUAGCGGUGGAAUGCGUAGAUAUAUGGAAGAACACCAGUGGCGAAGGCGGCUUACUGGACUGCAACUGACGUUGAGGCUCGAAA